AAACCGCUAGAAUUAUUUUGGCCACAUUUGGAGUGAUGCUUUCUCAAAGACAUUUUGGCACUGUAGGGGUGGAAAAAGUUUUCCUCAACCCUCUUAGAGUUCCUGGCUGAAUCUGGAAAUUAAACUGACAGACAGAUUAACAGGAAAGAAGCAUAUCAAUUUAUUUAAUAUAAAUUUCACGCGACAUGGGAGCCUUCGUAAGGAAAUGAAGACCUGAAGAAAUGGUUAAACCUGAAUGUUUUCAUGCUCGGGUUAGAUGAAGAGUGGAGAGUCACCGAAAGCAGAAAAUACUAGAAAAAAGAGUAUAAGCCAAGUGUAGUAAAGUGGAGGAGACUUAGCAAGACCUGUUGGUUCAGAUUCCUCUUGGUGUCCCUUUGUCCUUGGAGAUAAGGAUACCGAGGCACCACUUUUCUACCUUGUCUCUUCAUAUGUUUGUCUUUUUGGUUAAACGGAGUUAUACAAUAUGUGGCCUUUUGUGUCUUGUUUCUCUCAUUUAACGCGGUGUUUUUGAACUUCAUCCUUCAGCAUGUAUCAGUAUUCCAUUCCUUUUUAUUGCUGAAUAGUAUUACAUUGUAUAUAUAGACUGCAUUUUGUUUAUUUUCUAAGCAAUUGAUGGCUAUUUGGGUUAUUUCCACCUUGUGGCUAUUAUGUAUAAUGUAGUUAAGAACAUUCCCGUUUAAGUCAACGUUUGAACAUAUGUUUGCAUUUCUCCUGGGUAAUUAUCUAAGAGUGAAGUUUCUGGGUCCUAUGGUAAAUUUAUGCUUAGCUUUUUGAGAAACUGCUAAACUGUUUUAAAAGGUGGCUAUAACAUCUCACUUUCCUGUGAACAAUGUUUGAGAGUUCUCUUUUCUCCACAUUCUUGACAUUUGCUGUUAUCUGUCUUUUUGAUUACAGUACAGCCAUUUCGGUCAGUGUGGGGUGGUAGCUCACUGUGGUUUUAAUUUGCAUUGCUUUAAUGACUAAUGAUGUUGAGCACAUUUUCAUGUGCAUAUUAUCCAUUUAUGUAUCUUCUUUGAUAAAAUGUCUAUUCAACUUUUUUGUCCAUUUUUUAAUUGGGUUGAAUUCUUACUUUUGAGUUGUAAAAGUUCUUUGUAUACUCUGGAUACAAAUCCCUUAUCAGAUGUGUGGUUUGUAAAAUUUUCAGGCUGUUCUUUUAUUCUAGUGGGAUAUAUCAGUCAGGGAUUGCUAGGUGAUACUGCUGAAAAAAAUUCAGUGGCUUAAAACAUCAAAG
RNAcentral lists this long non-coding RNA (1231 nucleotides) under Equus caballus (horse). Its description in RNAcentral is "lncRNA (ENSECAG00000051782.1)". The record is from RNAcentral. Lineage: Eukaryota; Metazoa; Chordata; Mammalia; Perissodactyla; Equidae.